AUGUUAAGCAUGAUGUUGGAUUUUCAUGUGUGAGAUGUGCCUCCUUCAAACUCUGUUACCAUGUCUGCACAUUACCUGUCUGACA
RNAcentral lists this small nucleolar RNA (85 nucleotides) under Gorilla gorilla gorilla (western lowland gorilla). RNAcentral's name for it is "Small nucleolar RNA U13". It matches the Rfam family "Small nucleolar RNA U13", at positions 17 to 104 of the family's 104-position model. Lineage: Eukaryota; Metazoa; Chordata; Mammalia; Primates; Hominidae. The record is from Rfam by way of RNAcentral.